Molecule: unclassified non-coding RNA, 236 nt
Filed under: Epithamnolia sp.
Lineage: Eukaryota; Fungi; Ascomycota; Leotiomycetes; Phacidiales
Description: partial contains 5.8S ribosomal RNA, internal transcribed spacer 2, and large subunit ribosomal RNA
Source: RNAcentral
AACGCACAUUGCGCCCUUUGGCAUUCCGAAGGGCAUGCCCGUUCGAGCGUCAUUACACCAAUCAAGCCUGGCUUGGUAUUGGGCGUCGGGAGACCCCGCGCCCCUAAUUCAUCGGCUGGACGGUUCGAAUCUCAGCGUUGUGGUCAUUCAAUUCGCUGGCGAGGACGACCGGACGCGCCGUUAAACCUUUAUCACAGGUUGACCUCGGAUCGGGUAGGGAUACCCGCUGAACUUAA